This is a non-coding RNA of Halocaridina rubra (Hawaiian volcano shrimp), 72 nucleotides long. The record is from the annotation of a GenBank genome assembly. NCBI's taxonomy places the organism in Eukaryota, Metazoa, Arthropoda, Malacostraca, Decapoda, Atyidae.
UCCCGUGUGGUCUAGUAGUUAGGAUACGCAGCUCUUACCCGCGAGGCCCGAGUUCGAUUCCCGACACGGGAA